GGUUAAGCGACCAAGCGUACACGGUGGAUGCCUAGGCAGUCAGAGGCGAUGAAGGACGUGCUAAUCUGCGAUAAGCGCCGGUAAGGUGAUAUGAACCGUUAUAACCGGCGAUUUCCGAAUGGGGAAACCCAGUGUGACUCGUCACACUAUCGUUAAGUGAAUACAUAGCUUAACGAAGCGAACCAGGGGAACUGAAACAUCUAAGUACCCUGAGGAAAAGAAAUCAACCGAGAUUCCCCCAGUAGCGGCGAGCGAACGGGGAGCAGCCCAGAGUCUGAAUCAGCAUGUGUGUCAGUGGAAGCGUCUGGAAAGUCGCAGGGUACAGGGUGAUACUCCCGUACACGAAGAUGCAUGUGCUGUGAACUCGAAGAGUAGGGCGGGACACGUGGUAUCCUGUCUGAAUAUGGGGGGACCAUCCUCCAAGGCUAAAUACU
This 434-nucleotide ribosomal RNA is filed under the name Staphylococcus aureus. RNAcentral's name for it is "partial 23S ribosomal RNA". It matches the Rfam family "Bacterial large subunit ribosomal RNA", at positions 1 to 474 of the family's 2925-position model. The record is from RNAcentral. Lineage: Bacteria; Bacillati; Bacillota; Bacilli; Caryophanales; Staphylococcaceae.